GGGUGAGAAGCUCAACGGCUGAGCAGUGGACUCUUAAUCCAUUGGUUCUAGGUUCGAAUCCUAGGUCACCCA
Molecule: transfer RNA, 72 nt
Filed under: Aetokthonos hydrillicola
Lineage: Bacteria; Bacillati; Cyanobacteriota; Cyanophyceae; Nostocales; Hapalosiphonaceae
Also listed under: 2 other names
Description: tRNA-Lys
Rfam family: tRNA
About the family: Transfer RNA (tRNA) molecules are approximately 80 nucleotides in length.
Source: RNAcentral